RNAcentral lists this long non-coding RNA (3235 nucleotides) under Monomorium pharaonis (pharaoh ant). RNAcentral's name for it is "uncharacterized LOC118648651". Lineage: Eukaryota; Metazoa; Arthropoda; Insecta; Hymenoptera; Formicidae. The record is from RNAcentral.
UUUAAUGGAGUUUCAAACUUUUCGAAAAAGUUUAUAAGAACGCUAUAUAAUCCUGCUGCAGAACCAUUUGCAACAGGUAGCAGAGUUACAAACGUAUCAUUUAUUUUAAAAUUUUCUGCAAAUCUGACAACUAUUGCUAAAUUUUUUACGUAACUAUAACGGUUGAUACUAUGCGCAUUUUGACUCGCGAGCUCCGCGGGGAGAGCGGGUGUCCGGAGGGUUGAAGGUGGGGGGAGCGGGAGAGGGAGAAUCCGCGCUCGCCGCCAUUGCCAGAACACGCCCAUUGUGACCACCGCAGCUAUCGCCGCGGUGCUCGCGCUCUCUCUCUAUUGCGAAUCUAUCUCUCUCACCCAUACGCGAUAUCUCCAACUGUACGCCCAUACAGUCUCAUCAUUCCGGCUCUUUCUCUUUCCAUUGCGUUCCCUCUUUCAUAGUCUUCCAAUCACGUAUAUGCGUUCCCACCCAUCUCACCUUAUCUAUGUACUUCCUACCUAGUUCUUCACACGCCAUUAUAACGCAAAGGAAUAGAGAAGAGAGAAAAUAAAUUAGAAUAAUUAUUUAUAAAAUUUUUUUCACUUAUUCAUUUCGUAACGCGUCGUAUACAAUAUUUCUGAUGCAUAAGCCAUCAGUUUGCAAUCUACGAGCAAAGUUUUUACACACACUGAGAAAAAUAUCCAGCAGUUUUAAUCAGAAAAAACCGUUCAAACACUUUAUCUGGUUGGUUUUGAAUGGAUUUAGGGCUAUUCGAUAAAAUAAAAGAUGUCUUUAUCCGAUGAAAUAUACUUUUCGAUAAAAUAUGAACGGAUAACGAGGUGCAAUUUAUUUAUCCAUUUAAAUUCAUACAAUAUAAUCGGACAUUGUACUUGAUCGGAUAAAAACAGGGUAUUUUCAAUCAAGCUAAAUAUCCGAUCUAAUGUACUACAUCCGAUUAAAAUAUAUUCGAUAAAAUAUGAUCUCCGUUCAGAAGUCCGAUAAAAUAUAUGCGUGCGCGCCAGUCAGACGUGCACGAGCACCACAAGCCUCUACAAUCUCUACAUUGUGUGUACGAUACAGCGUGUGUGCGUGCGUGUGUGUGUGCGUACGUGUGUGUGUGUGUGUGUGUGUGUGUGUGUGUGUGUGUGUGUGUGUGUGUGUGUGUGUGUGUGUGUGUGUGUGUGUGUGUGUGUGUGUGUGUGUGAGACUCAAUAUUAUAUUAUUGUGACAUUAUAAGCAGAAGUGAGCCUAUAAACAUGAACAGAGAUACAUUUAGAUCUGUUCUUGAAGAACUAUACUGCGAAAUAGAAGUGAUACAAAUUCUCGUUGGUAGGUAAUACCUGUUUCUCAUACGCAUGUUUCAUAUAUAUGCAUUUUAUUACUUUCCCUUUUUAUAAAACUUUAUACGAAAGAAAAAGAAACUUUAAAUUAUGAGCUACUUAAAUAUUUUAUUACAUUUUAUAUUAUUCCUAAAAUGAUAAACCUAUUUUUCUAACCUCAAACAUCACACUAGGUGAUAAAUGUACCGCAAAUUUCCUUUCCAAGUGUUCUGUAAGCAAUGCAUUCUCUUGAAGAUGGAUUGGAAUUAAUAUUCUGCUAUGUAAAUCUCUUCGGUUUUUCAUAACAAAGACGAUGAUAUCCAUGUUUGAGGUCAUAAAAAAUAUGUUUACGUCCUAGGGUUAAUGUAUUAUACAUAUAGUCUUGAUCAAUAUUAUGAGGCAUCCUAUUAAAGUUUCCAAAAUAACUUCUAUGUUAUUUACGUUAUUUUAAAGAAACUAUAUUUUAAUACAGUGUCUCAUAAAUUUAGUCAAGUCUGUGUGUUAUGUUCUUGUGCGCGUUUACCGUUUGUAAAUACCAUUUUUUAUACGCGAUUUUUAGACGAAGAUAUAAUAAUUCAAGAUCUUGAAACUUUAAAAAAAGUAGAGCUUGAUGAUCUAAAAAAUGUGGUCAGAAAAGAAGGUAAAAUUUUGGUAUAAUAGAUGUUAAACCGUAGUCUCCUAUAGACCCAGAACUUUUGAUGGUAAUGUACACAUUUUUCUUUUUAUAUAUUUUUUAAAAUUAUUUUCUCCAUAUUUUAUAUUGUUUAUCAUUUCUUUAUAGUUGAAAAAUAUUAAUUUUUAUUACACACACAUUAAUUACACAAGCAUGAAUCUAAACAAUGAAAUGCUAAAGAAAUAAGAAUAUUUUUUAUAACUACAUUUUAUUCAAAUCUUAAAUUUAUCGUUUCUUAUUCCUUAAAAAAUUUUUUCAUUAUAUUCAAUAUCAAAAUUAAAACAUAUAUUUAAAUAUUCUUUUACAUUUUUAUUUGGUAUACUUAAUAGAUAUUACAAUUUUGCUACAUUUUUAUUUUUGGUAAAUAAUAUGAAAUAUAAAUAAAUUAAAAGAUUAAUUCAUUAAUUUUUAUUACAUAUACAUAGAAAUUGCCAAGGAAAUUGCUAAUAUGUAUAAACAAAAAAAUUCUGGAUCCAUUGUCUAUAUAAGUGUAACUGUAAAUAUUCAAAAUAACUGAUAAUAACUGUAAAUACUCAAAAUUAAUUUCUUUCAAAAGUUAUCGCUAUUGCAUUUAUGUAGUUAUUUCAUAUUUGAUUUAUUUUGAAUUAUAAUAUUUUAAACUUUGUUAUAUAAUUUUAUAAGUGACGCAAAUGUUAAAUUGUUUUUAAUAAAGUUGAUAAAUCAGAAAAGCUGUAUUUUUCUUUUUUUCUAGGCAUUUUAUAACGUGCAAUCUGCACAAGCAAAAAUCAUUUAUGAACAGAAGAGCUCUAAUGAAGUCUCACUGCCCACUAGCGACAGCAAUAGCAAUAUUUCUUUUUUAACAACGGAUUUCCCGUUUUCAUUGUCACAUUCGCCAACCAACGAGGAAAGCAGUGUAGAAACACUUCAAAUUCCUUUCAAAAUAAAUGCUGGAGACUGUCUUGAUAAACAUACUUCAGUUGAAGCAAAUUUAGAAAAAGAAGUAUCAAAGCUGGACGAUAAUAUUCUAGAUUUGAUAGAUGUUAGAUCAGUAAAAGCUCCGUUUAAAGAAUUAGAUAAAAACGCUCAGCAGACACAAUUAGUAAUUUUUCAAGAACAAUUGCAAUCAAAAAAUCCAUUGUUUAUCUUAUUACUAAAAAACAAACUUCAUACUCAAGAACCAUUCUCAACAUGAUGAAUUGAUACCAGAAUGGCACGACAUUAAUUUAAUUGUGGGCGCAGUUUCAAAGAUAUCGAUAUCCUGUUUCUACAACUAUAAAUAUAAGUCAUCUCAACGGAGGGACGGAACUGU